Molecule: ribosomal RNA, 492 nt
Filed under: uncultured bacterium
Lineage: Bacteria
Description: partial 16S ribosomal RNA
Rfam family: Bacterial small subunit ribosomal RNA
Source: RNAcentral
AGUGAACGCUGGCGGUAGGCCUAACACAUGCAAGUCGAACGGCAGCACAGUAAGAGCUUGCUCUUACGGGUGGCGAGUGGCGGACGGGUGAGGAAUACAUCGGAAUCUACUUUUUCGUGGGGGAUAACGUAGGGAAACUUACGCUAAUACCGCAUACGACCUACGGGUGAAAGCAGGAGAUCUUCGGACCUUGCGCGAUUGAAUGAGCCGAUGUCGGAUUAGCUAGUUGGCGGGGUAAAGGCCCACCAAGGCGACGAUCCGUAGCUGGUCUGAGAGGAUAAUCAGCCACACUGGAACUGAGACACGGUCCAGACUCCUACGGGAGGCAGCAGUGGGGAAUAUUGGACAAUGGGCGCAAGCCUGAUCCAGCCAUACCGCGUGGGUGAAGAAGGCCUUCGGGUUGUAAAGCCCUUUUGUUGGGAAAGAAAAGCAGCAGGUUAAUACCCCGCUGUUCUGACGGUACCCAAAGAAUAAGCACCGGCUAACUUCGUG